AGGAUGUGCAUUAAGGUUUGAAAUGUUUGCCUGACUUAAUAUCUUCAUUUUCAAGUUCCACCAUCAUACUAGUGGCUUGAUUCUUCGUUUCAAGCCAUGGUAGUCCUACACAUACAAAAUGACAUCAUGCAGUUCAAAAGCAAUGUGCGUUCUCUGGUUGUGGAAAAGGAAAAGUUCCGAAAACAGUUGAGAGGCAAUUCCGACAUGAACUUAAUAAACCUCCACCAAAAGACGGUCGGGAAAUGUUUUGCGUAAAGGAGGGGCAGGUAGAUCAAGCGUCAGUGAUGAUUAUGAAGAUCAGCGUCAGUUUCCACCAUUGGAAAUGUGUUUAUCCUCAGUCCCAGUAAAUCCAUUCGCCGUUGAGCAAGGUAUUCCUAAAACUGACGUUUGAUGCGCACUAACUCAUAACAAAAUGUUUGGAUGGGACACCCUGUCAUUGAGCUACAGAUGUGCGUGAUUUCAUUGAUGAAACAUUCCCAGAUCGUUGGAUUGGUACAGGUAGACCCCUUUCAUGGCCACGUCGUUCUCCGGACGUCACACCACUUGACUACUUUUACUGGAGAUACCUGAAAAACCGAGUUUUUGCUGCAGAGAUUCGUAGCAUCGAAGAACUAAAAAAUCGAAUCACCACAGAAACAGCUACUGUGAUUCCUAAAAUACUUAAUAAUAUCGGGAGGGAA
This is a long non-coding RNA of Stegodyphus dumicola, 680 nucleotides long. The record is from RefSeq and is a predicted model, not a curated record. Lineage: Eukaryota; Metazoa; Arthropoda; Arachnida; Araneae; Eresidae.